CGAAGGCAGCUUUCUGGAUCAUUACUGACACUGAGGAACGAAAGCAUGGGUAGCGAAGAGGAUUAGAUACCCUCGUAGUCCAUGCCGUAAACGAUGUGUGUUAGACGUUGGAAAUUUAUUUUCAGUGUCGCAGGGAAACCGAUAAACACACCGCCUGGGGAGUACGACCGCAAGGUUAAAACUCAAAUGAAUUGACGGGGACCCGCACAAGUAGUGGAGCAUGUGGUUUAAUUCGAAGAUACGCGCAGAACCUUACCAACACUUGACAUGUUCGUCGCGACUCUAAGAGAUUAGAGUUUUCGGUUCGGCCGGACGAAACACAGGUGCUGCAUGGCUGUCGUCAGCUCGUGUCGUGAGAUGUUGGGUUAAGUCCCGCAACGAGCGCAACCCUCACUUUUAGUUGCCAUCAUUAAGUUGGGCACUCUGAAAGAACUGCCAGUGAUAAGCUGGAGGAAGGUGGGGAUGACGUCAAGUCCUCAUGGCCCUUACGUGUUGGGCUACACACGUGCUACAAUGGCAUCUACAACAGGAAGCAAAACGGCAACGUUAAGCAAAUCCCGAAAAGAUGCCUCAGUUCGGAUUGCACUCUGCAACUCGAGUGCAUGAAGCUGGAAUUACUAGUAAUCGUGGAUCAGCGUGCCACGGUGAAUGCGUUCCCGGGUCUUGUACACACCGCCCGUCACACCAUGGGAGUUGGUUCUACCUUAAGGCAAGGUUUCAAACCCUUGACCACGGUAUAGUCAGCGACUGGGGUGAAGUCGUAACAAGGUAGCCGUA
Molecule: ribosomal RNA, 777 nt
Filed under: uncultured bacterium
Lineage: Bacteria
Description: bacterial SSU rRNA
Rfam family: Bacterial small subunit ribosomal RNA
Source: RNAcentral